Molecule: ribosomal RNA, 371 nt
Filed under: Cryptosporidium canis
Lineage: Eukaryota; Apicomplexa; Conoidasida; Eucoccidiorida; Cryptosporidiidae
Description: SSU rRNA
Rfam family: Eukaryotic small subunit ribosomal RNA
Source: RNAcentral
CUAUUUAUAUAAUAUUAACAUAAUUCAUAUUACUAUUUAUAGUAUAUGAAACUUUACUUUGAGAAAAUUAGAGUGCUUAAAGCAGGCUUUUGCCUUGAAUACUAGAGCAUGGAAUAAUAUUAAAGAUUUUUAUCUUUCUUAUUGGUUCUAAGAUAGAAAUAAUGAUUAAUAGGGACAGUUGGGGGCAUUUGUAUUUAACAGUUAGAGGUGAAAUUCUUAGAUUUGUUAAAGACAAACUAAUGCGAAAGCAUUUGCCAAGGAUGUUUUCAUUAAUCAAGAACGAAAGUUAGGGGAUCGAAGACGAUCAGAUACCGUCGUAGUCUUAACCAUAAACUAUGCCAACUAGAGAUUGGAGGUUGUUCCUUACUCCU